AGCCCGCUACCAGAAACUUAAAGGAAAGUUGACGGGGCCCGGCACAAGCGGAGGAGCAUGUGGUUUAAUUCGAUGAUACGCGAGGAACCUUACCUGGGCUCGAACGUAAGAUGACUGUAGGUGAAAGCUUACAUCUCUUCGGAGCAUUUUACGAGGUGCUGCAUGGUUGUCGUCAGCUCGUGCCGUGAGGUGUCGGGUUAAGUCCCAUAACGAGCGCAACCCCUACCUUUAGUUGCCAUCAGGUAAUGCUGGGGACUCUAAAGGAACUGCCUACGCAAGUAGUGAGGAAGCGGGGAUGACGUCAAAUCAGCACGGCCCUUACGUCCAGGGCUACACACGUGCUACAAUGGCCGAUACAGAGGGCAGCUACCUGGUGACAGGAUGCAAAUCUCCAAAGUCGGUCUCAGUUCGGAUCGGAGUCUGCAACCCGACUCCGUGAAGUUGGAUUCGCUAGUAAUCGCGCAUCAGCCAUGGCGCGGUGAAUACGUUCCCGGGCCUU
Molecule: ribosomal RNA, 499 nt
Filed under: uncultured Sphingobacteriales bacterium
Lineage: Bacteria; Pseudomonadati; Bacteroidota; Sphingobacteriia; Sphingobacteriales
Description: bacterial SSU rRNA
Rfam family: Bacterial small subunit ribosomal RNA
Source: RNAcentral